AAACCAUCUUCAUGGGCUCAUUGUGAUCAGUUUCAGUAAAGAUGGUGUCAGGACCUGAAACACUUCCUGAGAUGUCAUCGAUCAGCUCCAGUCCAGAUGAUCCAGUGACCCGGAUUCUCCUGAUGGACAGAAACGCUUCUGGGAAAACCUCAUCAGGAUUAACUUUACUGGGAGAAAAUGGAUUUAUAAUGAAUCUGAAGUUUGUGAGGAGGAAAUGUUGGUUGAUGACAAAUUGGACUGAUCCUUCUAAAUGUGCAUAUACUCGUCUCCGGGACCGAGGAAGAAGAAACUUAUAAGUGUUCCUCACACUUUGAAAAAACCUGCUGAUCUGAACGGGACUGAGUGACGGAGGAACAGCAAAUCACACGAGAGAAUAUUCAAAAUAAUAAUGGUCUUACAGCAGAGGCUGCUGCCGCCCGGGCGCAUGCGCGUGGAGUCUUUAAAAACCGUGUGCCGCGUUUCCUUUGUUGGUUUCAGAAGUGGGCCAUACGUGCGCAACACAGAGCUGCGACAGGAGACCUGCACUUACACUGACCAGAGGAGGCGAAUUAAGGUUCUUCAUUUGAGUGCAAACAUGUACAACAUCACAGUGUCAUGUGCAGAGAUUCAGACUCCAGUGGGGUUUGUGUAUGUGAUUCUGUCUGUUAUAAUGAAUCACAUCAAUAAUCCUGACUGUGAUCAGAGCUGGUAUCUACAGGACGGGCGUCUGAUAGCAGAUCCAUCAGAUCCUCAAACACUGAUUGAUCCUGUGAUUUCUGUCUCGUCUGAUCGUCUCGUCACGUCUCGCUGUGUGAAUCUGACUCAUGAGAUCAUCUGUCAUUCUGUUGGAUUAAAAUAUCAGACUGCCUUCAGAGUGUUUAAUGACACAGACUCCUUCAGCGGAUCGACUCAAACUCCAGAAUCACAUCAGUUGUGGUGGAUUUCUGCUCUGAUCUUCAUUGUUCUUCUGCUCUUGAUCUGUUUCUUGCUGCGGAAAAAGAUCUUCAGAUGUUUUCAGCGCAGUGAUUCAGAAAACAGAGAUCCUGAAUCUGGUGUCCAGAUGAAGCUCAGAUCAGAUGAAUCUGAUUCACUGAAUCAACCUGAAUCUGAGCAGAUCAACGGCUCCAUGUUUAGAGAAUGA
This is a long non-coding RNA of Cyprinus carpio (common carp), 1120 nucleotides long. The record is from Ensembl. NCBI's taxonomy places the organism in Eukaryota, Metazoa, Chordata, Actinopteri, Cypriniformes, Cyprinidae.